RNAcentral lists this ribosomal RNA (253 nucleotides) under uncultured bacterium. RNAcentral's name for it is "partial 16S ribosomal RNA". It matches the Rfam family "Bacterial small subunit ribosomal RNA", at positions 524 to 776 of the family's 1533-position model. The record is from RNAcentral.
UACGAAGGGGUGCAAGCGUUACUCGGAAUUACUGGGCGUAAAGCGUGCGUAGGUGGUUUGUUAAGUCUGAUGUGAAAGCCCUGGGCUCAACCUGGGAAUUGCAUUGGAUACUGGCAGGCUAGAGUGCGGUAGAGGAUGGCGGAAUUCCCGGUGUAGCAGUGAAAUGCGUAGAGAUCGGGGAGGAACAUCUGUGGCGAAGGCGGCCUCUGGACCAGCACUGACACUGAGGCACGAAGCGUGGGGAGCAAACAGG